RNAcentral lists this unclassified non-coding RNA (3141 nucleotides) under Ooceraea biroi (clonal raider ant). RNAcentral describes it as "ras-related protein Rab-9B, transcript variant X4". The record is from RNAcentral. Lineage: Eukaryota; Metazoa; Arthropoda; Insecta; Hymenoptera; Formicidae.
UAGAUGUUCACGUAUCAUGACACGUAUCACGAGUCUUGACACUUUUGACAGUUUGACAUCUGCGAGCGUGUGCGAGUGCUCAGUACGCGUGAAAAUUGAUCGUAGUCAUAUUCGUGCGAGAGUUGCCUGCCGCCUGAGCCUAACAUGGGCGUUCCUUUUGUCGUCUGCAGUGUGCCAGCUGCAGGGCACCCGAAGGAAAAAUGAUCGCAAGUCGCGAGUGCUUGUAGCCGGAUGGUACUGUUAAGGCCGCCAGAAGUCGACGCGCGGACGAAGCCGCCGUUGGAGACACACGGAUAUUCAUUACUCAUGCUGACAAAUCUCAUUUACUGCAUCUCCGUUCGCUGUUCAGUGAGAGUGCCGUGAUAACAAAGGACACCUCUCGCACGUAUCGUACUCUGAUCUCUGAUGAUCGAAUGAAAAAGUCGCGGAGGAAGAGGUAGUGGUGCGAGGCUGCUUCGUUGCCUUUUCUCUUCACUGAAGCUUUAAGAUUUUAAGGAGGUCACUCUUAAAGUCGAUCGAGAAUCUCAUUGCCGAGCCGUAAGGUUAUGCCGAGUCGCGAGAAGAUAAAGGCAUCAAGCACUUGUUAUUUAUUAGUUAUUUGAUAUAAGGAGAAGGAGAGAGAAAAGGAGGAAAAAGCGCGUAAAAGAAAGAGGAGCUUUGUGGAUGAUGAGUGACAACGCGUUCGUUUGACAAGCUCUGAGUAACUAAAGUACAAGAUCCCUGUCAGCCGAAUCAGCUGAUCAGCUGAGAGGCUAUGAGAUUUAAUUAGGCCUUAGUGAAUAUGCAUAUUUAUUGUAAGUGUACACGAUAGAAGAUAUUUGUUAAGACGUGACUCUGUUGGCGUGAGAUAAUCGUGUGUGUGCAAUAAGUAGAUAAGAUUACUUUGCACAAAAAGUGCAAGAAGUGGCUGAAAAAUGUCGAAUAAUUCAACGGUGGUGGGUACGUCCAGGGGCGGUGGUAGUCUUCAGCAGAAUCGAAACUCGCAGAGAUCCACCCUCCUGAAAGUGGUGAUUCUUGGAGACGGUGGUGUUGGAAAGUCCUGUCUCAUGAACCGAUUCGUGUCGAAUCACUUUGACGAGCACAGUUUUCACACCAUCGGAGUGGAAUUCUUGAACAAGGAUAUCGAGAUCAACGGCGAGACGUACACGUUACAGAUAUGGGAUACCGCCGGGCAGGAGAGGUUUAAGACCCUCAGAACGCCGUUCUACAGAGGCUCGGAUAUCUGUCUCCUCACCUAUGCGGUAGACGAUAGGACGAGUUUUGAGAAUUUGAAAUUGUGGAAAUCUGAAUUUCUUAAGUUUGCGGACGUUCAAGAAGGCUCCACGUUUCCAUUUAUUGUUGUUGGCAAUAAGGUGGACGUUCCUGAAUCUGACAGACAAGUUUCUACGGAAGAAGCUCAGGCAUGGUGUUCAGAGAAUGGCAGUCCUCCGUUAGUCGAGACAUCGGCGAAAGAUACUACUAAUGUUGAAGCGGCAUUUGGGACAGCGGUCGAUGCAUGGGCACGGCAGGAGGCUAGAUUAGAACGGCCUUUAGUGGAAGAUACCGUCGAUCUUUCUAAGCAACAGUCUCUGCAUCGUUCGAGCUGUUGCAUGCCUGUGUCCGGUGCUGAAUCUACAUUUGCGACCAGCUAAUUGAAAUGGAUGAUAACGAGAAAACCCAUAUAGGAUCUUUAUGCGAUGCAAAGCGACAUUUCUCGAACAAUUAUUUAAAAGUUUCUUUAUGUUUGGGAGAAGUACACAACGUUUACUCUAUUUAUAGGAUCUAUAAUGGCAGUUUUAUACGAUAUAAGUGUCUAACAAAGUAAUUUGAAGAGAAUCUCUUGCCUGUCUACAAUACUUUCUUCAUUAUACGGCGAACCGUUUUUUUUCAUUGAGACUGGAAUUGCGUCGGUUGUACAAACGGGAGAUGUAUCGUUUGAAUUUUUUGACUCGAGACCAGUUAAGAUUCCCAAAGAGUAUAUGGACUACAUUUAUAGGAUAUAUUGUUAGCAAAUAACGAGUUGGCUUGCUUAUAUUUUUCUUUACAAAAUCUUAACGAAAUACUCUCGAGUGAAAGAUUGCGGAGAUUGCGUGUGAGACAAAUAAUGUAUUGUGAUUGAUAUUUCCAGAAUAGAACUCUAAGAUAUAAUAAGAUCAAGUUGAACGUCCUAUUCUAUCACGCUUUAUGCAGCUCUUGAGCUACAGCCGACAGUAUUUUAAGUGUUUCACACUCACCACUUUGGCUUGUGAUAAAAUGAUAAUGAUGAAUAUUGUGAAUUGCUUUAUCAUAUUGAAGGUGUAGGCGUAAAUUGUAAUUUUAGCUUCGUAAAUCUAAAUUUGCCUUGUCCUCGCGACGCACGUCCAAGAGCAGUAAAGCGACGAGACUCUCACUCAAGCAAAAUCUCUUAUUGCGGAUACUCAUAUUUAUACAUGUGUGAAUUUAACGCUUGUACAAAGUGCGAUAUAAGUGCUUUCCUGCUCGUGGAAACAUUUCGUAUUCAGUGUCUAACGAUUUUCCUACACUAACACUAACAUAACAUUACGAAAGUGAAGCUUUUUGUACGAUUGUCAACGCGUUUCUACAGCUGCGUAUCUUUUUUGUCCAAAAGAUACUCGAUUCUCUAGAGAUGCCUCAUACACAGCACAAUGGAAAAAAUAUACAUAUAUAGUGUCGUUGCACUUAAACGAAGAAACAGUUUCCAACGACGAUGCUCGAAUCGAUUGUCUAUGAAACAUGCAUGCUGGUGCUUUUUAUAUAUAGCUAAAUGUGAAAUAUACAAAUCUAUAGUGAAAUAUAGAAUAAUAACGCGCGUUAGUUAAGGUGUUAAGUGCAUAAGUUAAACUGAUCAUAUCAAGGUGACGAUCUCACCUCAGAAUUACCACACACACACACGCGGAUAUCAUUUUUACAAAUAAUAAGUUUCUGCGCGAGAUCUGUUAUUUUUAAAAAGCUAUCUUUGCAUACACACACACACACACAAUCUUGUUCGUGAAGAAAACGCGCAUACCGAUUAUUUAUUAUUUUUACACACUCAGUAGGGACAUGGCUAUUUCUCGUAUAUGACUUAUGUAUAAUGUGUGUAUGCCUUAAGAUUUUAUAAUCCCGGGAAUCGAUUUUGCAAGAGGAGAAAUAAACUUAUACUGUGCUUGUUUAAAAAAAACA